GUCCAACCUCCCACCCGUGUUUAUUUACCUUGUUGCUUCGGCGAGCCUGCCUUUUGGCUGCCGGGGGACGUCAGNCCCCGGGUCCGUGCUCGCCGGAGACACCUUAGAACUCUGUCUGAAGAUUGUAGUCUGAGAUUAAAUAUAAAUUAUUUAAAACUUUCAACAACGGAUCUCUUGGUUCCGGCAUCGAUGAAGAACGCAGCGAAAUGCGAUACGUAAUGUGAAUUGCAGAAUUCAGUGAAUCAUCGAGUCUUUGAACGCACAUUGCGCCCUCUGGUAUUCCGGAGGGCAUGCCUGUCCGAGCGUCAUUGCUGCCCUCAAGCACGGCUUGUGUGUUGGGCCCCGUCCUCCUUCCGGGGGACGGGUCCGAAAGGCAGCGGCGGCACCGCGUCCGGUCCUCAAGCGUAUGGGGCUUUGUCACUCGCUUUGUAGGCCUGGCCGGCGCUUGCCGAUCAACCAAACUUUUUAUCAGGUUGACCUCGGAUCAGGUAGGGAUACCCGCUGAACUUAAGCAUAUCAAUAAGCGGAGGAAAAGAAACCAACAGGGAUUACCUCAGUAACGGCGAGUGAAGCGGUAAGAGCUCAAAUUUGAAAGCUGGCUCCUUCGGGGUCCGCAUUGUAAUUUGCAGAGGAUGCUUCGGGAGCGGUCCCCAUCUAAGUGCCCUGGAACGGGACGUCAUAGAGGGUGAGAAUCCCGUAUGGGAUGGGGUGUCCGCGCCCGUGUGAAGCUCCUUCGACGAGUCGAGUUGUUUGGGAAUGCAGCUCUAAAUGGGUGGUAAAUUUCAUCUAAAGCUAAAUAUUGGCCGGAGACCGAUAGCGCACAAGUAGAGUGAUCGAAAGAUGAAAAGCACUUUGAAAAGAGAGUUAAAAAGCACGUGAAAUUGUUGAAAGGGAAGCGCUUGCGACCAGACUNGCUCGCGGGGUUCAGCCGGCAUUCGUGCCGGUGUACUU
RNAcentral lists this ribosomal RNA (951 nucleotides) under fungal endophyte. RNAcentral describes it as "eukaryotic LSU rRNA". The stretch from base 475 to 951 matches the Rfam family "Eukaryotic large subunit ribosomal RNA", at positions 1 to 474 of the family's 3401-position model. Lineage: Eukaryota; Fungi. The record is from RNAcentral.